AUUGAACGCUGGCGGCAUGCCUUACACAUGCAAGUCGAACGGUAACAGGUCUUCGGAUGCUGCCGAGUGGCGAACGGGUGAGUAAUACAUCGGAACGUGCCCGAUCGUGGGGGAUAACGAGGCGAAAGCUUUGCUAAUACCGCAUACGAUCUACGCAUGAAAGCGGGGGAUCUUCGGGCCUCGCGCGGGCGGUGCGGCCGAUGGCAGAUGAGGUAGUUGGUGGGAUAAAAGCUUACCAAGACGACGAUCUGUAGCUGGUCUGAGAGGAUGAUCAGCCACACUGGGACUGAGACACGGCCCAGACUCCUACGGGAGGCAGCAGUGGGGAAUUUUGGACAAAGGGCGAAAGCCUGAUCCAGCCAUGCCGCGUGCAGGAUGAAGGCCUUCGGGUUGUAAACUGCUUUUGUACGGAACGAAAAGCCUCUUUCUAAUAAAGAGGGGUCAUGACGGUACCGUAAGAAUAAGCACCGGCUAACUACGUG
This 482-nucleotide ribosomal RNA is filed under the name uncultured bacterium. RNAcentral's name for it is "partial 16S ribosomal RNA". It matches the Rfam family "Bacterial small subunit ribosomal RNA", at positions 30 to 507 of the family's 1533-position model. The record is from RNAcentral.